This 253-nucleotide ribosomal RNA is filed under the name uncultured bacterium. RNAcentral's name for it is "partial 16S ribosomal RNA". It matches the Rfam family "Bacterial small subunit ribosomal RNA", at positions 524 to 776 of the family's 1533-position model. The record is from RNAcentral.
UACAGAGGGUGCAAGCGUUGUUCGGAAUUAUUGGGCGUAAAGGGCGCGUAGGCGGUGCGGUAAGUCUGUAGUGAAAUCUCUGGGCUCAACUCAGAGUCUGCUGCAGAAACUGCCGUGCUUGAGUGUGGGAGAGGUGAGUGGAAUUCCCGGUGUAGCGGUGAAAUGCGUAGAUAUCUGGAGGAACACCGGUGGCGAAGGCGGCAUCCUGGACCAACACUGACGCUGAGGAGCGAAAGCCAGGGGAGCAAACGGG